UUUUGGUGCUUUUUCUCCAACGAAACGAACCGUUUUGAUUCAAGUUUAGAUUUCCUCUUUAAUUUAUCCAUAAACGCCUCCGCUGCGGCUUAGCUUCGCCGACUAAGCUAUCGCAGCCUCCGGCAAGCUCCUCGAUCAGCUCCGAUCUGCUUUUCGUCAACUGUAUCCUCAGCAUUUAGAGAGAGCUCUGGAAGAAUGUGACAAUGAUUUACAUUGUGCAAUCAAGAAGCUGAAUAACUCUUUCCUUAGGAAUAGCUGAGAAAAAGUUGGACUCUCUGGAAGAAUUAUAUGCCAGUGAUAAUCAAGGUAAUAUUGCCAUGGUUGAAAAUGCUGUUGCUUUAGACAGUCCAUUAGAGCCAAACAAGCUUCCAGUUGAUGGUACAGAACAGGUGGACUUGUUUAUGACAGAAAAGAUGAGUGCUUAUUAAUAUGGAUGAUGCCAAAGCCUGUGUUUCAAGAGUGCUGGAGAUUUUAGAGAAAUCCAUUAUGGCACGUACUGCUGAUGAGGUAGCACAAAUAUUUCAGAAGACUAAUGAGAAGCGGUUCAAUGCUUUCUUUUUGGAUUUCCAAGAAUUUAUUGCCUUGUUUUGCCGCAUUUUCACCUUCAAAUCAGUUCCUCACAUCAUAUCAAAUCCUGAGAGUCUUCUGACUGAAAUUUCAAGAAUAUCCAAGAAUGUUGGAAGCAUUGUCAUAGAAUAAUAAACUUCAUCUUAGAAGAAUCAAAGGUAAAUCCUUUCUUGGACCUAUGCAAUUCUUAAGAAUUUACUGUUGAAGUCAUCUAAGCAAUUGUCAAACUUGCUAGGAUAGAUGGCAUCUGUGUGGUGUGUAUCUUACUUGUGGCACCCUCAAGGACAGUUGGAGCAUUUAUCGGUAAAACAAUAGUACUGGUAGGCUGUUUAUACUGCUAUCCUCUGAGAAAUCUAGGGCAUUUUUAGUGAGUGGCAGAUGUAUUGGGAUAAUUGGGGAAUAGUUGAGUAUGAUGGAUGCCAAGCUAUAUAAGAAGAUUAUCUUUUAAAGAGAAUCACUCAGCCACGUUGAAACUAAUAGCAGAAGGUGUAUGUGAAAAAGAAGAGAGAAGAGUACUGUGGAAUUUGUAGAAACUCUUUAACCGCAUGAAGCAGUUGAAAGGUCAUAACAGGAACACCAAAUAUAUCUCUCAAUGAUUCUGAGAUAGUAAGAAAUGAUAAUGUGUAAAUUUUUGUUAAAUAGAAAGUGUUGGAGCUGAUGUAGUUGAAUGUGCAUGCGUUAUUGGAUCGCUUGAGAUUCAGCCUGCUCAAAUGUUAGCAUUUUUGCAGGGACAUAACAGGCCAAGUGGAACACCAUUGUACUGUUAAGAUUCCAAGUAUAAGAGUCAUUACCAUGUCUCCCAGUUGCAAUUGUGUGUUGGGGGUGGUAACGCUGGCAUUGUAGUGUUUGCCUGGGGCUAGUAGAAAGCUAGUGCACAACCAAUCCGCUUGGACGUCGGGGUUGUGGAGCGUGAUGGUAUGUUAGGAUCUCAAAUGCAAGGUAUGAGAAUUGGAUCCUACAUUGAAAAGUAUGAGCAACUAGUGUAGGGUUUAUAUGACUUUGGGUUCUCCCAUCUCGAUAGCUAACUUUUGAUGUGCGAUUCUCUUAAGGUUUGUAUCAUGUACAUACUUAUCAAGCCUAGCCGGUAAAGCAAGAUUGUAACACAAAGGAACCGGGUAAACUGGGACUUUGUUUUUCUGGCUCUAAAAAUCAGUGAUUAAGGGGAAGUCCUUACUGAUUUUUUUGUGUGUAAGGUGUCAUUAGAUAUGAAAUUUUGGUGUAUAUGAUAAAUAAUGCAUUCUUAAUUGUCCA
This is a long non-coding RNA of Mangifera indica (mango), 1818 nucleotides long. RefSeq lists it as uncharacterized. NCBI's taxonomy places the organism in Eukaryota, Viridiplantae, Streptophyta, Magnoliopsida, Sapindales, Anacardiaceae. The record is from RefSeq and is a predicted model, not a curated record. The transcript has 7 exons.